RNAcentral lists this ribosomal RNA (903 nucleotides) under uncultured Microgenomates group bacterium. Its description in RNAcentral is "bacterial SSU rRNA". It matches the Rfam family "Bacterial small subunit ribosomal RNA", at positions 471 to 1368 of the family's 1533-position model. The record is from RNAcentral.
GACGUUACCCUACUAGAAAAGAGCCCCUAACUUUCGUGCCAGAAGCUUCGGUAAUUCGGGGGGUUUCAAGCGUUAUCCGGUUUUAUUGGGCGUAAAGAGUCGGUAGGGUGGUGGGGUAAGUUAUCUUCCAAAUAUCUUUGCUUAACAAAGAGGAGGGGGAUAAUACUGCUUGACUAGAAUUUUCUCAAGGGAGAUCGGAACUGAGGGAGGAGUUAGUGAAAAUGCGUUGAUACCCUCGGGAACACCAGUGGCGUAGGCGGAUCUCUGGGAGAAGAUUGACACUGAGACACGAAAGCUAGGGGAGCGAAGCAGAUUAGAGACCUGCGUAGUCCUAGCCGUAAACGCAUGCUUGCUAGCUGCAUGAAUCUACCUUCGGGUGGUAUCGUGUGGCGAAGGUAACCCGUUAAGCAAGCCGCCUGGAAAGUACGGCCGCAAGGCUGAAAUUCAAAGGAAUUGGCGGGGAGGCACACAACCAGUGGAACAUGUGGUUUAAUUCGAGACUAACCGAAGAACCUCACCAGGGUUUGACAUGUAGCUGCACGUCUUAAGAAAUUAAGACUCUCUUGAAGGUGCUACACAGGUGCUGCAUGGCUGUCGUCAGCUCGUUCCGUGAGGAGUGCCCUUAAGUGGGACAACGAGCGCAACCCCUAUUACAUGUUAGAAAUGUCAUGUAAGACUGCCUUGCCAUUUGGCGGGGAGGAAGGAGGGGCAGACGUCAAGUCCGCAUGGUCCUUAUGCCCUGGGCUACACACAUGUUACAAUGAGUACGGCAAUGAGUCUGUCGCGAGCACGUAAGUGUAAGCUAAUCUCUUAAAUGUACUCUCAGUGGGGAUUGAGGUCUGCAACUCGACCUCAUGAACACGGAAUUGGUAGUAAUCGCGGGUCAGCUAUACCGCGGGAAUA